AAGAUUAUACUUUCAGGAAUCAUUUCUAUAGUUUGUUACUAGAGAAGUUUCUCUGAAUGUGUAAAGCAUGAAAAACCACAAGGAGACACAGUGUCUGCUCCUGACUGAAAAGCCAGCUCUUGGUGUUGCUCUGCUGCAACUGCGUGCUAUUUGCCAUUGAUAACCAUUCUUCUCUUCCUCUGGGAGAGUAAGAGGGAAAGACUGCAGUCUGAGUGGU
Rhinopithecus bieti (black snub-nosed monkey) is the source of this 217-nucleotide small nucleolar RNA. Its record names the gene U3. It matches the Rfam family "Small nucleolar RNA U3". Rfam says of the family: Small nucleolar RNAs (snoRNAs) are involved in the processing and modification of rRNA in the nucleolus. There are two main classes of snoRNAs: the box C/D class, and the box H/ACA class. NCBI's taxonomy places the organism in Eukaryota, Metazoa, Chordata, Mammalia, Primates, Cercopithecidae. The record is from Ensembl.